AAAAACAUCGCCUCUUGUAACCUACAAAUAAGAGGUCCCGCCUGCCCUGUGACUAUGGGUUUAACGGCCGCGGUAUUUUGACCGUGCAAAGGUAGCGCAAUCACUUGUCCUUUAAAUGAGGACCUGUAUGAAAGGCAUCACGAGGGCUUAGCUGUCUCCUUUUUCAAGUCGAUGAAGUUGAUCCCCCCGUGCAGAAGCGGGGAUUAGAACAUAAGACGAGAAGACCCUAUGGAGCUUUAGAUACAAGACAGAUCAUGUUAAGCACCUUAAAUAAAAAAGCAAACUAAGUGGAACCUGUCUUAAUGUCUUUGGUUGGGGCGACCGCGGGGCAACAAAAAGCCCCCAUGAGGAAUAAAAGUAUUCUUUCAAAAACAAGAGCCACAGCUCUAAUGAACAGAACAUCUGACCUACCAGAUCCGGCAUAGCCGAUCAACGAACCGAGUUACCCUAGGGAUAACAGCGCAAUCCCCUUUUAGAGCCCCUAUCGACAAGGGGGUUUACGACCUCGAUGUUGGAUCAGGACAUCCUAAUGGUGUAGCCGCUAUAA
Molecule: ribosomal RNA, 547 nt
Filed under: Lagocephalus cheesemanii (Cheeseman's puffer)
Lineage: Eukaryota; Metazoa; Chordata; Actinopteri; Tetraodontiformes; Tetraodontidae
Description: partial large subunit ribosomal RNA
Rfam family: Bacterial large subunit ribosomal RNA
Source: RNAcentral